RNAcentral lists this ribosomal RNA (301 nucleotides) under uncultured bacterium. RNAcentral describes it as "partial 16S ribosomal RNA". It matches the Rfam family "Bacterial small subunit ribosomal RNA", at positions 509 to 807 of the family's 1533-position model. The record is from RNAcentral.
CAGCAGCCGCGGGAAUACGAAGGGUGCAAGCGUUAAUCGGAAUUACUGGGCGUAAAGCGUGCGUAGGCGGUGAGUUAAGUCUGCUGUGAAAUCCCCGGGCUCAACCUUGGAAUGGCAGUGGAUACUGGCUCGCUAGAGUGUGUCAGAGGAUGGUGGAAUUCCCGGUGUAGCGGUGAAAUGCGUAGAGAUCGGGAGGAACAUCAGUGGCGAAGGCGGCCAUCUGGGACAACACUGACGCUGAGGCACGAAAGCGUGGGGAGCAAACAGGAUUAGAUACCCCCGUAGUCCCUGUCUCUUAUAC